GACGAACGCUGGCGGCGUGCUUAACACAUGCAAGUCGAACGGAAAGGCCCUGCUUUUGUGGGGUGCUCGAGUGGCGAACGGGUGAGUAACACGUGAGUAACCUGCCCUUGACUUUGGGAUAACUUCAGGAAACUGGGGCUAAUACCGGAUAGGAGCUCCUGCUGCAUGGUGGGGGUUGGAAAGUUUCGGCGGUUGGGGAUGGACUCGCGGCUUAUCAGCUUGUUGGUGGGGUAGUGGCUUACCAAGGCUUUGACGGGUAGCCGGCCUGAGAGGGUGGCCGGCCACAUUGGGACUGAGAUACGGACCAGACUCCUACGGGAGGCAGCAGUCGGGAAUAUUGCACAAUGGGCGGAAGCCUGAUGCAGCAACGCCGCGUGCGGGAUGACGGCCUUCGGGUUGUAAACCGCUUUCGCCGGUGACGAAGCGUGAGUGACGGUAAUGGGUAAAGAAGCACCGGCUAACUACGUG
RNAcentral lists this ribosomal RNA (468 nucleotides) under uncultured bacterium. Its description in RNAcentral is "partial 16S ribosomal RNA". It matches the Rfam family "Bacterial small subunit ribosomal RNA", at positions 28 to 507 of the family's 1533-position model. The record is from RNAcentral.